This 113-nucleotide ribosomal RNA is filed under the name Ochotona princeps (American pika). The record is from RNAcentral. Lineage: Eukaryota; Metazoa; Chordata; Mammalia; Lagomorpha; Ochotonidae.
GUCUACAGCCAUACCACCCUUAAUAUGCCCGAUCUCGUCUGAUCUCGGAAGCUAAGCAGGGUUGGGCCUGGUUAGUACUUGGAUAGAAAUAAUUUGUAACUCUUUUGUAGCCA